GGGCCUGUAGCUCAGCUAGGUAGAGCAAUCGGCUCUUAACCGAAAGGUCAAGGGUUCGAAUCCCUUCAGGCCCGCCA
Molecule: transfer RNA, 77 nt
Filed under: Euryarchaeota archaeon RBG_16_62_10
Lineage: Archaea; Methanobacteriati; Methanobacteriota
Also listed under: 1 other name
Description: tRNA-Lys
Rfam family: tRNA
About the family: Transfer RNA (tRNA) molecules are approximately 80 nucleotides in length.
Source: RNAcentral